GCUCGGCGUCCUGUGAUUGGUCCCGAGGACGCCGGAGGCCCAGCCAAUAGACAGCUGCUUCUUUCCCGGCGCAGGAGGCGGGCCGCGGCCGUGACAUCAGCAGCGUGCGUCCUGAUUGUGAGGCCGCGCGCGCUCCCGCGACGCGUCCUCGGCGUUGGCGAGUGUCCUGAAGUGCAGAAGCUUCUCUAUGUGCUCAGCACUGGAGUUGGAUCCAGUCUUGACAGUGGAAGCUUUUGGAGUCCAGGUGAACCCCAUAUUAUAGCGGUCAAUCCCAGUGGCAGAAGGAAUGUAUGAGGUGCUUUUCUCACUGCUGUGAAUCAACUAACUGACAAGAAACAGAGUUAAGGAAGUAAGGGUUUAUUUUGGCUCUCAGUUUGAGGUGACACCCCAUCAUAAUGAAUUCAUGGGAGCAGGAACCUGGGGUAGCUGGUCACAUUGCACCCACAGAAUCCACAGGAAGUUCCGGUGCCGCACUCACUUCCUCCUUUUUCCCCUGGGACUCCAUCCCAUGGAAUGGUGCCACCCAUAGUUAAGCCCACAGGCUGGUGCUGCCCACAUUCAGGGUGGUUUUUCCCUCCUCAGUGGAAGAUCUCCGGGAAUACUCUCAAAGAUACAACCAGAGGUGUGUCUCCUAGGCGAUUCCAAAUCCAGUCAAGUGCACAAUGAAGAGUGAUAGAAGAGGAGUCCUGUGUGGAGAGCUUCGAUGCGCCUCGCCUUAAAGAUGGCGCCGGUUUCCGCCUUCCACCAUCCGGAGGCUGGAUCUUCCCACAGUUCUGUAGCAGCAACAUGAAGCCUCUUUCCUUAGGUAAUUAUUUCUUCACUGCAACUCAUGGAUCCACACACGCUAGUAUUGAAAGGGCUCCCACAUCCGCGCUGGACUGAUUGUAGCUUGGAAAGACCAAAAAAGAAAAUCAAUCAUAAUGUGGACAUUAAAAAAUCCUUGAACAUUCUGAAACUCAUGAAGAGUUGAAGAGACCUUGGCUGCUAGAUGACCUGUGCGGUUUCCAUUGGUGGAGGAGCCUUGCCUUGCCCCCCUCCCCCAAAGGUAUCAAGGUCAAGGUUUGGCAUAAUGGCUGCCAAGAGGUGGCCUCUGCCAAACCGCCUGAUGUGUGCAAGCCGCGCCCCUCACAGUCCCAGCACAGGCACUAGGAGUUUUCCAGAACAAGCUUUUCCGGAGACACAGGAAGAAGGAAGUGACAGGUGACUGGCCCAGUUCAGAAGACAUUGGUGGAACUAUUAUCGACGGCUCCUGUCAAAGACGCAAUCAAGUCCCCGCAGGACUUUUUUUUGCGGGGGAGAAGGGAACGGGAAUUUGAGACAGAGUUUCUCUGUGCAGCCCUGGUUAUCCUAGAACUCUGUAGAACAGGAUGGCCUCGAAUUCACAGAAUUUCUCCUGCCUCUGCCUCCCAAGUGCUGGGAUUAAAGGUGGGCGCCACCACCGCCCAACUUCCCUGCCUGGCGUUUAAGAAGUCAAGAAAAUGCACUUGCUAUCUCCCCAGCACUGAGGUUGCACAUGCAUUUUGGCACGCCUGGCUUUUCCACGUAGAUUUGGGUGGUUCUAACUCAAGUCCUCAUAUCUUCACAGCAAGCAUUUGACUGAGUGAGCGUCUCCCUGGCUGCAUGGGAUUUUUGGUUUUUAAAUUCAGGACUGGGAAUUUUGCUCAGAUACAGCACUUGCUUUGCAAGUGUUAAUGACCUGAGUUGCAUCUCUAGCAGAGAUAGAGGUUGGGAGUGGAGGGUGGGGGUUGGAGGAAGGGAAUAAGAGGGAUUAAUAUCCUUCCUGCUGGCAUAUUUAAACAUUUUUAAAAAGAUUUAUUUACUAUGUAUCCCUGCAGGCCAGAAGAGGAUACCAGAUCUCAUUACAGAUGGUUGUGAACCAUCAUGUGGUUGCUGGAAAUUGAACUCAGGACCUCUGGAAGACCAGCUAGUGUUCUUAACCAUUGAGCCAUCUCUCCAGCCCCUAAACAUUUUAUUUGAAAGAAAGCAAACUUCAUGGUGCUGGAGCCUGGACAUAGAGCCUGCUAGUGGGAGGCUCUGUCUCCCUUCAAGUCAGGAAGUUGUGUACUCAGCCAUCUGCAUCAUAUUUACUCUUCUCAGGAACAGAGCAAGCAUCUGCCUGUCCUUUAGAAAGAGAACAUAGGGGUGUCAAACAACAAGCAUGGCAGACAUUUGCUGAUGAAAUGCACGUGUCCAGAGGUGAAGCUACAGAAGCUGGGUCAAGAUGAGCAGGAUUUCUCAGAAGUAUUUUCUAUACCAAGUACCAAAUAGCAUUGGGUUUCCAAAGACACUGAGGCUUGAAAAAUAUGACUUUGCCCCUGGAAAGGUCCCUGUUUGCUGGCUUGGCUUGGGUGUUUGUAGCCUCCUCCCCUUGGACAGGGGGAGCAAAAAGAACUAAUGAGAUACCCACAGACGUCAUGGUCAGGCAGCUUUGGAUGCUUCCAGUCUGACUCACUUCAUCUUAUACACCUUGGGCUACUGUGGACUCCACUGCCAUCACCAUGUAGCUCACAUAAUAACACCUGUGGGUUGAAGAAAAAUGCCCACACAGAGUCUAAUAGACACUGGGUGUGUCCAGUGUGGCAGAGGCUAUUGUCACUGGGGCCUGGAUUCUUGCCAUUAGCCUGACCUGUUCUGAGGGCUGGGAUGCUGACGCUCUAUCAGGUUGUGCUCUCUAAAGAGAAUGGCAUGUCAAGUCAUAAGAGCAGCUGAAUGAAGAGCCUGUUAUAACCAGCCUGAAGGCUCUCUCAGGUUUCAGCCAGCCCCCAGGUAAGACAGAGGCAACAUAGAGACACCCAAAGGCCACUAACCCUCUCACCACAUCAUGCCCUUAAAUCACUGUGAAGACAGAUGGGCCAUCUCAACCUUGCCUGCUCACCAGGAUCCCCUCGUGAGCACUGAAACAAUACUAGGGGCCCAGCUUGCCUAGACCAGUCAGAUCAGGAAUUCUAGUGGGGGAGAUUUGAUGGAGCUAAAGCUGGAUGGAGCUAAAGUGGAUUAGGAAGGACAGCCUUGUUGAAGAACUACUGAAUAUAUUCCAUUGCCAUGCUGGUAUCAAACUCAAGUCAUGGAGCUUGCUUGGCAAACUUUCUUACACCAUAAAUCAUCUCCCAGGCCAGGAUUCAAAAGACCUUAUCUCAACAAAACAGAAAACAAAGCAAACAAAACAAAAGCACUCAUCCUCAUGACAUUUACAAGAAUAUUCUCUGCACCCCACCCCAAGUACAGUGCAAAAGAAACCUUCCAAUUUAAGAAAAAAAAUUGGGAGCUGGACAGAUAGCUCAAUGGUUAAGAGCCCAUCUGUUCUUGCAGAGGACCCAAGUUUGGGUCCCAGCACCCAUGAAAGGGAAGCUCACAAGUUCUAGUAACUCUGGUUCCAGAGGAUCUGAAGUCCCUUCUGGCCUCCAUGGGUACCUGAACACAAGUGGAAUACACACAGAGAGAUAUACAUAAAUAAAAAUA
Molecule: non-coding RNA, 3459 nt
Organism: Cricetulus griseus (Chinese hamster)
Lineage: Eukaryota; Metazoa; Chordata; Mammalia; Rodentia; Cricetidae
Source: RefSeq, a predicted model, not a curated record